Molecule: ribosomal RNA, 406 nt
Filed under: Acinetobacter pittii
Lineage: Bacteria; Pseudomonadati; Pseudomonadota; Gammaproteobacteria; Moraxellales; Moraxellaceae
Description: bacterial SSU rRNA
Rfam family: Bacterial small subunit ribosomal RNA
Source: RNAcentral
AACUGAAGAGUUUGAUCAUGGCUCAGAUUGAACGCUGGCGGCAGGCUUAACACAUGCAAGUCGAGCGGAGAGAGGUAGCUUGCUACUGAUCUUAGCGGCGGACGGGUGAGUAAUGCUUAGGAAUCUGCCUAUUAGUGGGGGACAACAUUUCGAAAGGAAUGCUAAUACCGCAUACGUCCUACGGGAGAAAGCAGGGGAUCUUCGGACCUUGCGCUAAUAGAUGAGCCUAAGUCGGAUUAGCUAGUUGGUGGGGUAAAGGCCUACCAAGGCGACGAUCUGUAGCGGGUCUGAGAGGAUGAUCCGCCACACUGGGACUGAGACACGGCCCAGACUCCUACGGGAGGCAGCAGUGGGGAAUAUUGGACAAUGGGCGCAAGCCUGAUCCAGCCAUGCCGCGUGUGUGAAG